Molecule: long non-coding RNA, 234 nt
Organism: Alosa alosa (allis shad)
Lineage: Eukaryota; Metazoa; Chordata; Actinopteri; Clupeiformes; Clupeidae
Exons: 3
Source: RefSeq, a predicted model, not a curated record
CUGUCACCCAUGUCCAUGUCUAAUCCCACUUGUGAACACACAACAGAGGCCUGCUUUGGUAAAGAAAACGACCAACACAUGGAGUGGAGGCCAGACGUCUCGCUGGAUUCUGGAGACCUAUCAGCUCAGGGGUGACCCCCAAAACGGACGGUGGAAUCUGCCUGCCUUCAUGGAAGUAACGUUAUCACAAGCUUUUUCUAGCUAUCUGUUCAAAAAAUAAACUGCCAAAUAAAU